RNAcentral lists this ribosomal RNA (717 nucleotides) under Triticum aestivum (bread wheat). RNAcentral's name for it is "partial small subunit ribosomal RNA". The record is from RNAcentral. Lineage: Eukaryota; Viridiplantae; Streptophyta; Magnoliopsida; Poales; Poaceae.
AUGGCCGGAAGCGACAAGGAGAAGGCGCAGAAGAAACUAGAGGAGGAAAAGGCCAAGGCGGAGGCCUCGGACCUUGGGAUGACCCUGGCCCGUCUCUCCACUGACGAGGGCUCAGGGGUGCGCGUCGUUGAGCGCGUCGUGCACAGCGGCGGCGGCGGCGGGCCCCCGAUGAUGCUCACGCGCACAAACUACUCCGACUGGGCUAUGAUCACUAAAUUGCAGCUGCAGGCGGACGAGCUCUGGCGCGUGGUGGAGACAGGGCAAGGCUCGGAUCGCGAUGACCGGCGCGCCAUGAUCGCCCUCCUCAAGGGGGUGCCGUCGGAGCUCAUGCGGAUCCUGGGCGCCAAGGCCACGACCAAGGAGGCCUGGGACACUCUGAAGACCAUGUGCGUCGGGGUCGAGCGUGUGCGUGAGGCCAAGGCGCAAACUCGCCGAUCGGAGUACGAGGCGCUCCGGUACAAGGACGGCGAGGGAAUCGAGUCGUACGUGAUGCGGCUCAGAACGAUCAUCGACGACCUGCAGUCACUGGGUGAUCCCAUGGAUGAGCAUAACGCUAUCCUCAAGGUACUCCGGACUGUGCCGCGCCCGUACCGUGAGAUGGCCGUGGCGAUCGAGUCGCUCGUCGACACCAAGCAGCUCUCCCUCGAGGAACUUUGCGGCCGGCUCCUUAUCGUCGAGGAGCGAGAGCGCGAGGAGACACCUGCUCCCGGCGCCUAG